GCUAACGUAGCUUAAAUUUAAAGCAUAACCCUGAAGACGUUAAGAUGAGCCCUAGAAAGCUCCGUAAGCA
This 70-nucleotide transfer RNA is filed under the name Channa argus (northern snakehead). It matches the Rfam family "tRNA". Rfam says of the family: Transfer RNA (tRNA) molecules are approximately 80 nucleotides in length. Their secondary structure includes four short double-helical elements and three loops (D, anti-codon, and T loops). Lineage: Eukaryota; Metazoa; Chordata; Actinopteri; Anabantiformes; Channidae. RNAcentral also lists the same sequence under 2 other names. The record is from Rfam by way of RNAcentral.